RNAcentral lists this ribosomal RNA (484 nucleotides) under uncultured bacterium. RNAcentral describes it as "partial 16S ribosomal RNA". It matches the Rfam family "Bacterial small subunit ribosomal RNA", at positions 30 to 507 of the family's 1533-position model. The record is from RNAcentral.
AUUGAACGCUGGCGGCAGGCCUAACACAUGCAAGUCGAGCGGAUGAAGGGAGCUUGCUCCUGGAUUCAGCGGCGGACGGGUGAGUAAUGCCUAGGAAUCUGCCUGGUAGUGGGGGAUAACGUCCGGAAACGGGCGCUAAUACCGCAUACGUCCUGAGGGAGAAAGUGGGGGAUCGUCGGACCUCACGCUAUCAGAGGAGCCUAGGUCGGAUUAGCUAGUUGGUGGGGUAAAGGCCUACCAAGGCGACGAUCCGUAACUGGUCUGAGAGGAUGAUCAGUCACACUGGAACUGAGACACGGUCCAGACUCCUACGGGAGGCAGCAGUGGGGAAUAUUGGACAAUGGGCGAAAGCCUGAUCCAGCCAUGCCGCGUGUGUGAAGAAGGUCUUCGGAUUGUAAAGCACUUUAAGUUGGGAGGAAGGGCAGUAAGUUAAUACCUUGCUGUUUUGACGUUACCAACAGAAUAAGCACCGGCUAACUUCGUG